Molecule: ribosomal RNA, 184 nt
Filed under: uncultured bacterium
Lineage: Bacteria
Description: partial 16S ribosomal RNA
Rfam family: Bacterial small subunit ribosomal RNA
Source: RNAcentral
AAGUAGACGGCGGACGGUAGUAACACGUACGGCAACCUGCCCAGCAAGACUGGGAUAACGUCCGAUAACGGAUGCUAAUACGGAUACGUUGAUCUCUCGCAUGGGCGGUCAUGGAAAGGCGGAGCAAUCUGCCGUUGUGGAUGGGCCUGCGGCGCAUUAGCUAGUUGGUGGGUAGACGGCUCAC